GAGGACCGGAGUGAACGAACCGCUGGUGUUCGGGUUGUCAUGCCAAUGGCACUGCCCGGUAGCUAUGUUCGGAACGGAUAACCGCUGAAAGCAUCUAAGCGGGAAGCCGGCCAAAAGAUGAGUCAUCCCUUGUACCUUGAGUACACAUAAGGGUCGUUGGAGACCACAACGUUGAUAGGUGAGGUGUGGAAGCGUGGUGACACGUUAAGCUAACUCAUACUAAUUGCCCGAGAGGCUUAACCAUACAACGCCCAAGGUGUU
RNAcentral lists this ribosomal RNA (261 nucleotides) under Rheinheimera mesophila. Its description in RNAcentral is "Pararheinheimera mesophila partial 23S ribosomal RNA". It matches the Rfam family "Bacterial large subunit ribosomal RNA", at positions 2687 to 2925 of the family's 2925-position model. The record is from RNAcentral. Lineage: Bacteria; Pseudomonadati; Pseudomonadota; Gammaproteobacteria; Chromatiales; Chromatiaceae.